Molecule: non-coding RNA, 134 nt
Organism: Triticum aestivum (bread wheat)
Lineage: Eukaryota; Viridiplantae; Streptophyta; Magnoliopsida; Poales; Poaceae
Source: Rfam
CAAGUACUCCCUCCGUCCGAAAAUACUUGUCAUCAAAAUGGAUAAAAAAGAUGUAUCUAGAACUAAUAUACAUCAAGAUACAUCCCGUUUUAUUCAUUUUGAUGACAAGUAUUUCCGGACGGAGGGAGUACUAC